Molecule: non-coding RNA, 318 nt
Organism: Durio zibethinus
Lineage: Eukaryota; Viridiplantae; Streptophyta; Magnoliopsida; Malvales; Malvaceae
Source: RefSeq, a predicted model, not a curated record
AAGGAAAUUCUUUGCUUCAUGUCUCGCAAAAUUAAUACUAUACCAUUUUUCAUUAACAAGACAAAGGACAUGUGUUGCAUAUCGUACGAUCCAUUCAAGCCUUAGCAAGCAGAAGCUAAGAACAAAGCAAAAGCAGAAGCAGCCAAUCGUAAAGUCGAAGGGUUGAGUUCCAACUCGCAACUCGCAAAACUGAGCGUCAAACAGGGAUUCGGUGUGCAUCUGGUUCCUACUUGGCAACCACCUUCGUCAUGCUACUCACAAGUAUCAACCCAUCCUUUUUUUUUUCUUUUUAUAUUUGUUUGGAGUUUAUAUUUAUUG